GACGAACGCUGGCGGCGUGCUUAACACAUGCAAGUCGAACGGAAAGGCCCUGCUUUUGUGGGGUGCUCGAGUGGCGAACGGGUGAGUAACACGUGAGUAACCUGCCCUUGACUUUGGGAUAACUUCAGGAAACUGGGGCUAAUACCGGAUAGGAGCUCCUGCUGAAUGGUGGGGGUUGGAAAGUUUCGGCGGUUGGGGAUGGACUCGCGGCUUAUCAGCUUGUUGGUGGGGUAGUGGCUUACCAAGGCUUUGACGGGUAGCCGGCCUGAGAGGGUGACCGGCCACAUUGGGACUGAGAUGCGGCCCAGACUCCUACGGGAGGCAGCGGUGGGGAAUAUUGCACAAUGGGCGGAAGCCUGAUGCAGCAACGCCGCGUGCGGGAUGACGGCCUUCGGGUUGUAAACCGCUUUCGCCUGUGACGAAGCGUGAGUGACGGUAAUGUGUAAAGAAGCACCGGCUAACUACGUG
RNAcentral lists this ribosomal RNA (468 nucleotides) under uncultured bacterium. RNAcentral's name for it is "partial 16S ribosomal RNA". It matches the Rfam family "Bacterial small subunit ribosomal RNA", at positions 28 to 507 of the family's 1533-position model. The record is from RNAcentral.